AACGAACGCUGGCGGCAGGCCUAACACAUGCAAGUCGAACGAGAUCUUCGGAUCUAGUGGCGGACGGGUGAGUAACGCGUGGGAACGUGCCCUUCUCUACGGAAUAGUCCUGGGAAACUGGGUUUAAUACCGUAUACGCCCUUCGGGGAAAGAAUUUCGGGGAAGGAUCGGCCCGCGUUGGAUUAGGUAGUUGGUGGGGUAACGGCCUACCAAGUCUACGAUCUAUAGCUGGUUUUAGAGGAUGAUCAGCAACACUGGGACUGAGACACGGCCCAGACUCCUACGGGAGGCAGCAGUGGGGAAUCUUGGACAAUGGGCGCAAGCCUGAUCCAGCCAUGCCGCGUGGGGGAGGAAGGUUUUUGGAUCGUAAACCCCUUUUGUCAAGGAAGAAGCUCUGACGGUACUUGACGAAUAAGCCU
Molecule: ribosomal RNA, 419 nt
Filed under: uncultured bacterium
Lineage: Bacteria
Description: bacterial SSU rRNA
Rfam family: Bacterial small subunit ribosomal RNA
Source: RNAcentral